Molecule: ribosomal RNA, 535 nt
Filed under: uncultured Glomeromycotina
Lineage: Eukaryota; Fungi; Glomeromycota
Description: SSU rRNA
Rfam family: Eukaryotic small subunit ribosomal RNA
Source: RNAcentral
UUGGAGGGCAAGUCUGGUGCCAGCAGCCGCGGUAAUUCCAGCUCCAAUAGCGUAUAUUAAAGUUGUUGCAGUUAAAAAGCUCGUAGUUGAAUUUCGGGAUCAAUACGUCGGUCGUGCUUAGGUACGUACUGGCGUAAUUGAUUUCUCCCUUCUGACGAACCAUGAUGUCAUUAACUUGGUGUCAUGGGAAAUCAGGACUGUUACUUUGAAAAAUUAGAGUGUUUAAAGCAGGCUCACGCUUGAAUACAUUAGCAUGGAAUAAUGAAAUAGGACGUUCGAUCCUAUUUUGUUGGUUUUUAGGAUCAACGUAAUGAUUAAUAGGGAUAGUUGGGGGCAUUAGUAUUCAAUUGUCAGAGGUGAAAUUCUUGGAUUUAUUGAAGACUAACUACUGCGAAAGCAUUUGCCAAGGAUGUUUUCAUUAAUCAAGAACGAAAGUUAGGGGAUCGAAGACGAUCAGAUACCGUCGUAGUCUUAACCAUAAACUAUGCCGACUAGGGGAUCGGGAUGAUGUUAAUUUUUAAUGACUCAUUCGGGC